This 352-nucleotide unclassified non-coding RNA is filed under the name soil metagenome. RNAcentral describes it as "partial contains 5.8S ribosomal RNA, internal transcribed spacer 2, and large subunit ribosomal RNA". The stretch from base 1 to 120 matches the Rfam family "5.8S ribosomal RNA", at positions 35 to 154 of the family's 154-position model. The record is from RNAcentral.
GAUGAAGAACGUAGCGAAAUGCGAUAAGUAAUGUGAAUUGCAGAAUUCAGUGAAUCAUCGAAUCUUUGAACGCACAUUGCGCCCGCCAGUAUUCUGGCGGGCAUGCCUGUUCGAGCGUCAUUACAACCCUCAGGCCCCCGGGCCUGGCGUUGGGGAUCGGCAGAAGCCCCCUGUGGGCACACGCCGUCCCUCAAAUACAGUGGCGGUCCCGCCGCAGCUUCCAUUGCGUAGUAGCUAACACCUCGCAACUGGAGAGCGGCGCGGCCAUGCCGUAAAACACCCAACUUCUGAAUGUUGACCUCGAAUCAGGUAGGAAUACCCGCUGAACUUAAGCAUAUCAAUAAGCGGAAGA